AGCUCAGUUGGUUAGAGCGUCGGAUUGUGGUUCCGAAGGUCGCGGGUUCGAGACCCGUC
This 59-nucleotide transfer RNA is filed under the name Flavobacterium sp. RNAcentral's name for it is "tRNA-His". It matches the Rfam family "tRNA", at positions 9 to 63 of the family's 71-position model. Rfam says of the family: Transfer RNA (tRNA) molecules are approximately 80 nucleotides in length. Their secondary structure includes four short double-helical elements and three loops (D, anti-codon, and T loops). Further hydrogen bonds mediate the characteristic L-shaped molecular structure. tRNAs have two regions of fundamental functional importance: the anti-codon, which is responsible for specific mRNA codon recognition, and the 3' end, to which the tRNAs corresponding amino acid is attached (by aminoacyl-tRNA synthetases). tRNAs cope with the degeneracy of the genetic code in two manners: having more than one tRNA (with a specific anti-codon) for a particular amino acid; and 'wobble' base-pairing, i.e. permitting non-standard base-pairing at the 3rd anti-codon position. Lineage: Bacteria; Pseudomonadati; Bacteroidota; Flavobacteriia; Flavobacteriales; Flavobacteriaceae. The record is from RNAcentral.